RNAcentral lists this ribosomal RNA (630 nucleotides) under uncultured bacterium. RNAcentral describes it as "bacterial SSU rRNA". It matches the Rfam family "Bacterial small subunit ribosomal RNA", at positions 30 to 691 of the family's 1533-position model. The record is from RNAcentral.
AUAACGCUGGCGGCGUGCCUAACACAUGCAAGUCGAACGCACUCGGGCAACCGAGUGAGUGGCGGACGGGUGAGGAACACGUGGGUUAUCUACCUUGAGGUGAGGAAUACCGGCGAGAAAUCGCCGACAAUACCGCAUACGUUUCGCAAGAAACAAAGCUUCUUCGGAGGCGCCUCUGGAUGAGCCUGCGCCCGAUUAUGCUAGGUUGGUGGGGUAAAGGCCUACCAAGGCGACAAUCGGUAGCUGGUCUGAGAGGACGAUCAGCCACACUGGGAUUGAGAACGGCCCAGACUCCUACGGGGGGCAGCAGUGAGGAAUUUUCGUCAAUGGGGGCAACCCUGAACGAGCAACGCCGCGUGCAGGAAGAAGGUUUUCGGAUCGUAAACUGCUUUUCUUGGGGAAGAGAACGGACGGUACCCAAGGAAGAAGCCCCGGCUAACUACGUGCCAGCAGCCGCGGUAAUACGUAGGGGGCGAGCGUUGUCCGGAUUUAUUGGGCGUAAAGCGCACGCAGGCGGUCUGCUGCGUUCCCAGUGACAGGUGGCGGCUUAACUGCCACAGGACUGGGAAAACGGGCAGACUUGAGGACGAGAGAGGGACGCGGAAUUCCAGGUGGAGCGGUGAAAUGCGU